This 710-nucleotide ribosomal RNA is filed under the name Robiginitalea sp. RNAcentral describes it as "bacterial SSU rRNA". It matches the Rfam family "Bacterial small subunit ribosomal RNA", at positions 36 to 739 of the family's 1533-position model. Lineage: Bacteria; Pseudomonadati; Bacteroidota; Flavobacteriia; Flavobacteriales; Flavobacteriaceae. The record is from RNAcentral.
CGGGAAUCGGCAGCUACACAUGCAGUCGAACGGUAACAGGGAUUGCUUGCAAUCCGCUGACGAGUGGCGCACGGGUGCGUAACGCGUAUGGAACCUACCCUUUACUGGGGGAUAGCCCGGAGAAAUUCGGAUUAAUACCCCGUAGUAUUGCUUAGUGGCAUCACUUGAGCAAUUAAAGCUUCGGCGGUAGAGGAUGGCCAUGCGUCCUAUUAGCUUGAUGGUGAGGUAACGGCUCACCAUUGCUACGAUAGGUAGGGGCCCUGAGAGGGGGAUCCCCCACACUGGUACUGAGACACGGACCAGACUCCUACGGGAGGCAGCAGUGAGGAAUAUUGGACAAUGGUCGAAAGACUGAUCCAGCCAUGCCGCGUGCAGGAAGACGGCCCUACGGGUUGUAAACUGCUUUUUUACGGGAAGAAUAAUGCCCACGUGUGGGCAGAUGACGGUACCGUACGAAUAAGGACCGGCUAACUCCGUGCCAGCAGCCGCGGUAAUACGGAGGGUCCGAGCGUUAUCCGGAAUCAUUGGGUUUAAAGGGUCCGCAGGCGGGCCAGUAAGUCAGGGGUGAAAGUUUGCGGCUCAACCGUAAAAUUGCCUUUGAUACUGCUGGUCUUGAGUUGUGGUGAAGUGGCCGGAAUAUGUGGUGUAGCGGUGAAAUGCAUAGAUAUCACAUAGAACACCGAUUGCGAAGGCAGGUCACUAACCACACA